AUUGAACGCUGGCGGCAUGCUUUACACAUGCAAGUCGAACGGCAGCGGGGGCUUCGGCCCGCCGGCGAGUGGCGAACGGGUGAGUAAUGCAUCGGAACGUGCCCAGUCGUGGGGGAUAACACAUCGAAAGAUGUGCUAAUACCGCAUACGUCCUGAGGGAGAAAGCGGGGGAUCUUCGGACCUCGCGCGAUUGGAGCGGCCGAUGUCGGAUUAGCUAGUUGGUGAGGUAAUGGCUCACCAAGGCGACGAUCAGUAGCUGGUCUGAGAGGAUGAUCAGCCACACUGGGACUGAGACACGGCCCAGACUCCUACGGGAGGCAGCAGUGGGGAAUUUUGGACAAUGGGGGCAACCCUGAUCCAGCCAUGCCGCGUGAGUGAAGAAGGCCU
Molecule: ribosomal RNA, 387 nt
Filed under: uncultured bacterium
Lineage: Bacteria
Description: bacterial SSU rRNA
Rfam family: Bacterial small subunit ribosomal RNA
Source: RNAcentral